Molecule: ribosomal RNA, 340 nt
Filed under: uncultured Pseudomonadota bacterium
Lineage: Bacteria; Pseudomonadati; Pseudomonadota
Description: bacterial SSU rRNA
Rfam family: Bacterial small subunit ribosomal RNA
Source: RNAcentral
AACGAACGCUGGCGGCGUGCUUAAUACAUGCAAGUCGAACGAGAAAAGUCCCUUCGGGGAUCUAGUAAAGUGGCGCACGGGUGCGUAACACGUGGGUAACCAACCUUAGGGUUCGGGACAACACUUCGAAAGAGGUGCUAAUACCGGAUAAGACCACGCCCUCUUCGGGGGGUGAGGUAAAAGGUGGCCUCUCCUUGGAAGCUAUCGCCUUUUGACGAGCCCGCGGCCCAUCAGCUAGUUGGUGAGGUAAUGGCUCACCAAGGCUAAGACGGGUAGCUGGUCUGAGAGGAUGUCCAGCCACACUGGAACUGAGACACGGUCCAGACUCCUACGGGAGGCU